This 492-nucleotide ribosomal RNA is filed under the name uncultured bacterium. RNAcentral describes it as "partial 16S ribosomal RNA". It matches the Rfam family "Bacterial small subunit ribosomal RNA", at positions 29 to 507 of the family's 1533-position model. The record is from RNAcentral.
AGUGAACGCUGGCGGUAGGCCUAACACAUGCAAGUCGAACGGCAGCACAGUAAGAGCUUGCUCUUACGGGUGGCGAGUGGCGGACGGGUGAGGAAUACAUCGGAAUCUACUUUUUCGUGGGGGUUAAGGAAGGGAAACUUACGCUAAUACCGCAUACGACCUAGGGUGGAAAGAAGGGGACUUUCGGACCUUGCGGGAUUGAAUGGGCCGAUGUGGGAUUAGCUAGUUGGCGGGGUAAAGGCCCACCAAGGCGACGAUCGGUAGCUGGUCGGAGAGGAUGAUCAGCCACACUGGAACUGAGACACGGUCCAGACUCCUACGGGAGGCAGCAGUGGGGAAUAUUGGACAAUGGGCGCAAGCCUGAUCCAGCCAUACCGCGUGGGUGAAGAAGGCCUUCGGGUUGUAAAGCCCUUUUGUUGGGAAAGAAAAGCAGCAGGUUAAUACCCCGCUGUUCUGACGGUACCCAAAGAAUAAGCACCGGCUAACUUCGUG